RNAcentral lists this unclassified non-coding RNA (319 nucleotides) under uncultured fungus. RNAcentral describes it as "partial contains small subunit ribosomal RNA, internal transcribed spacer 1, and 5.8S ribosomal RNA". The stretch from base 1 to 73 matches the Rfam family "Eukaryotic small subunit ribosomal RNA", at positions 1759 to 1831 of the family's 1831-position model. The record is from RNAcentral. Lineage: Eukaryota; Fungi.
GCAAACUUGGUCAUUUAGAGGAAGUAAAAGUCGUAACAAGGUUUCCGUAGGUGAACCUGCGGAAGGAUCAUUAACGCGCCGUGGAGGUUGCCUUUAAACAGGUCUGACCUUCCACCUGGCCACCCUUGUUUAUCUUUAACCUGUUGCUUUGGUGGGCCCGCUGCAAGGCCGCUGGAGAAUUUAAAAGUUUUCUGGCCCGUGCCCACCAAAGUCCUAAUGAACUCUUUGUUAAUUUUCUGCUGUCUGAGCAUUAAAAGAAGCAAUUUUUAAAACUUUCAACAACGGAUCUCUUGGUUCUGGCAUCGAUGAAGAACGCAGC